RNAcentral lists this transfer RNA (80 nucleotides) under Canis lupus familiaris (dog). It matches the Rfam family "tRNA". Rfam says of the family: Transfer RNA (tRNA) molecules are approximately 80 nucleotides in length. The record is from Rfam by way of RNAcentral. Lineage: Eukaryota; Metazoa; Chordata; Mammalia; Carnivora; Canidae.
ACCUGGGUGGCUCAGUGGUUGAGCGCCUGCCUUCGACUCAGGUGGUGACACCCGCCUGGGAUCCAGUCCCACCUCGGGCU